Molecule: ribosomal RNA, 494 nt
Filed under: uncultured bacterium
Lineage: Bacteria
Description: partial 16S ribosomal RNA
Rfam family: Bacterial small subunit ribosomal RNA
Source: RNAcentral
GACGAACGCUGGUGGCGCGCUUAACACAUGCAAGUCGAACGGAAAGGCCUGCUUUCCCUUGUGGAUUGCGGGUACUCGAGUGGCGAACGGGUGAGUAACACGUGAGUGAUCUGCCCCCAACUUGGGUAUAAGCCUGGGAAACUGGGUCUAAUUCCCGAUAGGACUGCAGGGUGGUGCCUGUGGUGGAAAACGAUUUUCUAGUGGUUGGGGAUGAGCUCGCGGCCUAUCAGCUUGUUGGUGGGGUAAUGGCCUACCAAGGCGGCGACGGGUAGCCGGCCUGAGAGGGUGGACGGCCACAUUGGGACUGAGAUACGGCCCAGACUCCUACGGGAGGCAGCAGUGGGGAAUAUUGCACAAUGGGCGGAAGCCUGAUGCAGCGACGCAGCGUGGGGGAUGACGGCCUUCGGGUUGUAAACUCCUUUCGACCGCGAGGAAGCCACCUGGUUGGAAGGGUGGUGACGGUAGUGGUAGAAGAAGCACCGGCUAACUACGUG